This 2398-nucleotide ribosomal RNA is filed under the name Corynebacterium diphtheriae. Its description in RNAcentral is "bacterial LSU rRNA". It matches the Rfam family "Bacterial large subunit ribosomal RNA", at positions 1 to 2223 of the family's 2925-position model. Lineage: Bacteria; Bacillati; Actinomycetota; Actinomycetes; Mycobacteriales; Corynebacteriaceae. The record is from RNAcentral.
GUGUUGUUUGUUAAGGGCACACGGUGGAUGCCUUGGCAUUAUGAGCCGAUGAAGGACGUGUAAGGCCGCGAUAGGCCUCGGGGAGUUGCCAAUAGAGCGUUGAUCCGAGGGUGUCCGAAUGGGGAAACCUGGCCAUGGUUAUGUGUGGUUACCCAUCAGUGAAUUCAUAGCUGGUGUGGGGGUGACGCGGGGAAGUGAAACAUCUCAGUACCCGUAGGAGAAGAAAAUAAUUAAUGAUUCUGCUAGUAGUGGCGAACGAACGUGGAUGAGGCUAAACCGUAUGCGUGUGAUACCUGGCAGGGGUUGCGUGUGUGGUGUUGUGGGGCGUUGUUGGAGGAGGCUGCCGGCUCCUCGCUUGUUAUAUGUGUGUGUUAGCGGAAGUGGUUUGGAAUGGCCUGCCGUAGUGGGUGAGAGUCCCGUACGUGAAAACAUGUGCAUGCGAGUGGAUGAUGUUCCCGAGUAGCAGCGGGCUCGUGGAAUCUGCUGUGAAUCUGCCGGGACCACCCGGUAAGCCUAAAUACUUAUGAUGACCGAUAGCGGAUAGUACCGUGAGGGAAUGGUGAAAAGUACCCCGGGAGGGGAGUGAAAUAGUACCUGAAACCGUGUGCUUACAAUCCGUCAGAGCCUUGUUGUUAGGUGAUGGCGUGCCUUUUGAAGAAUGAGCCUGCGAGUCAGCGGCAUGUCGCGAGGUUAACCCGUGUGGGGUAGUCGUAGCGAAAGCGAAUCCUAAUGAGGGUGUUUUUAAGUGGCAUGUCCUGGACCCGAAGCGGGGUGAUCUACCCAUGGCCAGUGUGAAGCAGCUGUAAGAGGUUGUGGAGGCGCGAACCCACUUAGGUUGAAAACUGAGGGGAUGAGCUGUGGGUAGGGGUGAAAGGCCAAUCAAACUCCGUGAUAGCUGGUUCUCCCCGAAAUGCAUUUAGGUGCAGCGUUGUGUGUUUCUUGCUGGAGGUAGAGCUACUGGUUGGUUGAGCGGGACUACAAUCUUAGCAAUGUCAGCCAAACUCCGAAUGCCGGUAAUGUUAAGCAUGGCAGUGAGACUGCGGGGGAUAAGCUCCGUUGGUCGAGAGGGAAACAGCCCAGAUCGCCGGUUAAGGCCCCUAAGGGUGUACUAAGUGGAAAAGGAUGUGGGAUCGCGAAGACAGCCAGGAGGUUGGCUUAGAAGCAGCCAUCCUUGAAAGAGUGCGUAAUAGCUCACUGGUCGAGUGGUUCUGCGCCGACAAUGUAGUGGGGCUCAAGUACACCGCCGAAGCCGCGGCAGUCAACAAUGUGUUUUGUUGGUUGGGUAGGGGAGCGUCGUGCACUGCUGUGAAGCACCUGGGUGACUUGAUGGUGUGGAGUGUGUGCGAGUGAGAAUGCAGGCAUGAGUAACGAAUGAAAAGUGGAAAACUUUUCCGCCGGAUGACUAAGGGUUCCUGGGUUAAGCUAAUCUUCCCAGGGUGAGUCGGGACCUAAGGCGAGGCCGACAGGCGUAGUCGAUGGAUAACCAGUUGAUAUUCUGGUACCCGUGUAUGUGCGCCCAGUGGUGAAUCAGUGGUACUAACCAUCCAUUGAUCUGCUGGUCAUGCUUUGUGUGUGGUUGGUGGUGAUGUGCGUGGGAUCUUCGUUGGUAGUAGCCAAGUGAUGGGGUGACGCAGUGAGGUAGCUGAGCCAUUUAUUGGAUUGUGGUGUAAGCGUGUGGCCCGUGGCAUAGGUAAAUCCGUGUUACAUAGUGGGUGAGGCGUGAUGCGUAGACCUUUGUGGUUGAUGUUGGUGAUCCUGUACUGUCGAGAAAAGCCUCUAGCGAGUGCAUAUAUGGCCCGUACCCAUAACCGACACAGGUGGUCAGGUAGAGAAUACUAAGGCGAUCGGGUGAACUGUGGUUAAGGAACUCGGCAAAUUGCCCCCGUAACUUCGGGAGAAGGGGGACCAUUGCUGGUGACCGACGUGGUUGAGCUGGUGGUGGUCGCAGAGAAUAGAGGGAAGCGACUGUUUAUUAAAAACACAGGUCCGUGCGAAAACGUGGAAGUUGAUGUAUACGGACUGACGCCUGCCCGGUGCUGGAAGGUUAAGAGGACCUGUUAGGGCAUUUUUUGUCCGAAGCGGAGAAUUUAAGCCCCAGUAAACGGCGGUGGUAACUAUAACCAUCCUAAGGUAGCGAAAUUCCUUGUCGGGUAAGUUCCGACCUGCACGAAUGGCGUAACGACUUCCCUGCUGUCUCAACCACAGGCCCGGUGAAAUUGCAGUACGAGUAAAGAUGCUCGUUACGCGCGGCAGGACGAAAAGACCCCGGGACCUUCACUAUAGCUUGGUAUUGGUGUUUGGUUCGGUUUGUGUAGGAUAGGUGGGAGACUGUGAAGUGGUCACGCUAGUGGUUGUGGAGUCGAAAGUUGAAAUACCACUCUGAUCGGAUUGAGCACCU